UAGACGCGAAAAGUGUCAUGACAUGCCGACUUUGUGAAUGACCAAUUUUUGAACGCACCUUGCACCUAUCCAUGGGAUGGGUGUGCUUGUGUGAGUGUGGGACGGAGCUUGGUUAAAGAUUGCCAGAGAUGAGGCGUGCUACAAGAGCUAGCUGCCUUGAAAGACAUGGCGAGCACGUGAUGAGCGCCCUGGGAUACAUCUACAGGCCGCGAGACACGUGUUCGGUAACGAGAGUGUGAGUGAGACGGUAAGAGAGAAUUUUUUCUCCCUUUUUACCGUCUCACACCCGCACCUCUACUUAUUACCCACCUCACAUCAAGCAAGACCACCCGCUGAACUUAA
Molecule: unclassified non-coding RNA, 342 nt
Filed under: uncultured fungus
Lineage: Eukaryota; Fungi
Description: sequence contains ITS1
Rfam family: 5.8S ribosomal RNA (bases 1-100)
Source: RNAcentral